Molecule: transfer RNA, 64 nt
Filed under: Eochionelasmus coreana
Lineage: Eukaryota; Metazoa; Arthropoda; Thecostraca; Balanomorpha; Pachylasmatidae
Description: tRNA-Tyr
Rfam family: tRNA
About the family: Transfer RNA (tRNA) molecules are approximately 80 nucleotides in length. Their secondary structure includes four short double-helical elements and three loops (D, anti-codon, and T loops). Further hydrogen bonds mediate the characteristic L-shaped molecular structure. tRNAs have two regions of fundamental functional importance: the anti-codon, which is responsible for specific mRNA codon recognition, and the 3' end, to which the tRNAs corresponding amino acid is attached (by aminoacyl-tRNA synthetases). tRNAs cope with the degeneracy of the genetic code in two manners: having more than one tRNA (with a specific anti-codon) for a particular amino acid; and 'wobble' base-pairing, i.e. permitting non-standard base-pairing at the 3rd anti-codon position.
Source: RNAcentral
UAAAAGGUGGCCGAGUUUAGGUGUUAGAUUGUAAAUCUAAGGACGAGAGUUUUCUUUCUUUUAA